RNAcentral lists this transfer RNA (82 nucleotides) under Candidatus Omnitrophota bacterium. RNAcentral's name for it is "Candidatus Omnitrophica bacterium (groundwater metagenome) tRNA-His". It matches the Rfam family "tRNA". From Rfam's summary of the family: Transfer RNA (tRNA) molecules are approximately 80 nucleotides in length. Their secondary structure includes four short double-helical elements and three loops (D, anti-codon, and T loops). Further hydrogen bonds mediate the characteristic L-shaped molecular structure. tRNAs have two regions of fundamental functional importance: the anti-codon, which is responsible for specific mRNA codon recognition, and the 3' end, to which the tRNAs corresponding amino acid is attached (by aminoacyl-tRNA synthetases). tRNAs cope with the degeneracy of the genetic code in two manners: having more than one tRNA (with a specific anti-codon) for a particular amino acid; and 'wobble' base-pairing, i.e. permitting non-standard base-pairing at the 3rd anti-codon position. Lineage: Bacteria; Pseudomonadati; Candidatus Omnitrophota. The record is from RNAcentral.
GCGGACGUGGUGGAACUGGCAGACACGCGUGCUUGUGGGGCACGUGCCGCAAGGCAUGGAGGUUCAAAUCCUCUCGUCCGCA